This 513-nucleotide long non-coding RNA is filed under the name Physcomitrium patens. Its description in RNAcentral is "long non-coding RNA (PPAT_LNC003099)". Lineage: Eukaryota; Viridiplantae; Streptophyta; Bryopsida; Funariales; Funariaceae. The record is from RNAcentral.
GAGAGAAAGAAAAUGCCAAACUAUGAUAGUCAUGAAUUGGAAUUAAGCUUGGUGCUUCCUCUUUGUUUUUUUUGUUUUUUUUGUUGUUAAAGAGUAAUGGAUAGUUUCUAAAUACUAAGAAGUGAGUCUGUGGAAUAAAUCAGAGAUUGAUUUAUGAGUUAUUGAUUAUGUAAUUGGAGUACUGAGUGAUUGAAUUAUAUGAGAAGUUAUUGGAAGAUUAAUUAUGGAUGGAAGAUCAUGAUUGUUGUUUAUUGAGAGUUGUGUGUGUGUAUUUUGAUAGAGGAAGUCUGUGAUUACAAGAAUUCUGUGAAUUUAGAUUAGUUUGAGUGAAGUUUGUUAUUCAUGGUGUUGGAUGGAAUUUAUUGAGGUUUGAGCAAUCUUUUGAGAGUGCAGGGUUGCAUACUAUGGUUAUCAGUUGAUAGAGGAGUAUUGUUACUAGGUGAAAGCAUUGUAGUAUUUCUUAGUGUUUUAGUGGUUCGAAAUAUAGUUAAUUGUGUGAUCCUAAUGAGUGAA